Molecule: ribosomal RNA, 524 nt
Filed under: uncultured bacterium
Lineage: Bacteria
Description: partial 16S ribosomal RNA
Rfam family: Bacterial small subunit ribosomal RNA
Source: RNAcentral
GACGAACGCUGGCGGCGUGCCUAAUACAUGCAAGUCGAGCGCAGGAAACUGACGGAACUCUUCGGAGGGAAGGCAGUGGAAUGAGCGGCGGACGGGUGAGUAACACGUAAGGAACCUGCCUCAAGGAUUGGGAUAACUCCGAGAAAUCGGAGCUAAUACCGGAUAGUUCAUCGGACCGCAUGGUCCGUUGAUGAAAGGCGCUCCGGCGUCACCUUGAGAUGGCCUUGCGGUGCAUUAGCUAGUUGGUGGGGUAACGGCCCACCAAGGCGACGAUGCGUAGCCGGCCUGAGAGGGUGAUCGGCCAAACUGGGACUGAGAAACGGACCAGACUCCUACGGGAGGCAGCAGUAGGGAAUCUUCCACAAUGGACGAAAGUCUGAUGGAGCAACGCCGCGUGAGUGAUGAAGGUUUUCGGAUCGUAAAACUCUGUUGUAAGGGAAGAACACGUACGAGAGGGAAUGCUCGUACCUUGACGGUACCUUACGAGAAAGCCACGGCUAACUACGUGCCAGCCGCCGCGGUAA